This 114-nucleotide non-coding RNA is filed under the name Pedobacter sp. RNAcentral describes it as "SAM-I sequence". It matches the Rfam family "SAM riboswitch aptamer (S box leader)". Rfam says of the family: The SAM riboswitch is found upstream of a number of genes which code for proteins involved in methionine or cysteine biosynthesis in Gram-positive bacteria. The SAM riboswitch acts at the level of transcription termination control. The record is from RNAcentral. Lineage: Bacteria; Pseudomonadati; Bacteroidota; Sphingobacteriia; Sphingobacteriales; Sphingobacteriaceae.
GAUUUAUAAAGAAGUGGCGAGAGACAGGCUCUUUGACCCACUGGCAACCCUCCCAAGAUGGAGAAGGUGCCAAUUCCUGACCAAAAGACAUGGUGUCGUUUGGAAAGAUAAAUU